This 1468-nucleotide long non-coding RNA is filed under the name Anser brachyrhynchus (Pink-footed goose). RNAcentral's name for it is "lncRNA (ENSABRG00000002106.1)". The record is from RNAcentral. Lineage: Eukaryota; Metazoa; Chordata; Aves; Anseriformes; Anatidae.
AUGCCCAAGGAUAAGCGCAUGUAUUGCAGGUUCUCCACCCUGCUUGUUGCAGACAGCCAGACCUUUCCGAGGGACACGAGCCUGUGUCACCCAGCAGCUACCAUUUGCUGGAGGCAGUGGUUUUGCUCUCCUGCAUCUGCUCAGGAGCCGACGGGCUGGCGCUGCGUUGCACGCAGGGACUGCGUUAUGGAGCCCGUGGGACCCAAGGGUGUUGUUGGCGUCGCCGCAAUGCCUGCGGCCGGCCGUGCAGCAGCUGCUGGCCCUGGGCAAGGCUGGGGAGCAGCCAGCCGCUCCUUUGAAAUGAGAUCGUGGGGACAAUGGGAGCUGCCGGCUGGAACACGAGCCCUGCCGAGCUAUGUUGGAUGGAGGGUAAAUGCAAACCUGGAGGCUGAGUGCCGGGUUAGCGGAGGAGAGUGGCCGAGGGGGAGUGAUUUAAAAAGAAAUGCAAAUGCAAAUAAAACAAAAUAAAAUUAAGGCAUCCAUCAUGAAGCACUGACGCAGCUGACAGGCAGCACAAAGGACGUCCGUAAGACAUACAAAGUGCAGCUGGUGUCACCCAGAGGCGAAGCGAAGGAAGCUCUUUGUGGGGAAUGUUUUCCAGAAAAGGACGUUCAGAGCGCUGCGUACAGGUGGCUGUGCUGGCCAUCCAGACCAGCAGCCCGUCUCCGAACAGCAGGUGCCCAGGGGGAAGUGCUUUUUUGCGUCCAGCAGCGCUCCCCGGGAUGCAGUGCCAGCCCCCUGUGCCUUGUGACAAUGGGGUUUCUGUGACAGGAAUCACUCCUGUAUUUAGUAGCGUGAAGCUAAUUGAUCUAGCUGUGGUUUUUUGUCUUCUCCAGACCGUUUUACAGACCCUGCCCAAAGCCCUUUCUCCCUCUGGCUUCUCUUCUAGCUGGAGGGCCGUACUCUUAUCUAUUUGUUCCUGGUACGGAAGCCAUUCACUACCUUGGAUGUCUUUGCAAUUUUCUCCCCUUGAAAUCAGAGGAUCAGAACUGCCAGCAGCACUCAGGACACCAUGAUUAUAGCAACAUUGUCUUUCCUCGUUGCUUCCUCUCCUUUCCUAGGAACCAAGAGGCUGUCUUUCCUCACUCUGCUGAGCACCGAGCUGAGCCUUUCACAGAACUGUCUGUCUCGUGGUUUUGAUCCUGCGUGACAUCAGUGAGCUCGGAGGAAGUCACUGUUUAUUUUAUAUAUUUGUUUAUAUAAUUCUUCAGAGAUGGUCUUUGUCUUUACUUGCCCAUAUCUCCACCUGUAAUUAGCAAACACCUAGCUCUUCACCCCUUUUCCAGGUGAUUUAUGGUGCUAAUAAGCAGGCAUCAGCAUGCCCUGGAGGAAUCCACUGGAUCUACCCUGCUAUGGAAACCAAUCCUAUGGAGACUGGAGUUAUGGAAACAUAUCCCUACCGUUUGCCCUUCCACAGUUCAGUAAGCUUAUCUAUGGGAAGGUUUUCUCUCUUACUCCAAGUUAUUUA